Molecule: unclassified non-coding RNA, 391 nt
Filed under: soil metagenome
Description: partial contains 5.8S ribosomal RNA, internal transcribed spacer 2, and large subunit ribosomal RNA
Rfam family: 5.8S ribosomal RNA (bases 1-122)
Source: RNAcentral
GAUGAAGAACGUAGCGAAAUGCGAUACUUGGUGUGAAUUGCAGAAUCCCGUGAACCAUCGAGUCUUUGAACGCAAGUUGCGCCCGAAGCCACUAGGCCGAGGGCACGCCUGCCUGGGCGUCACACGUCGUUGCCCCCCCAUCUACUCCUUUGGGAUUGCGGGGGGGCGGAUGAUGGCCUCCCGUGCGCCUAGCCGCGCGGUUGGCAUAAAUACCAAGUCCUCGGCGACGCACGCCACGACAAUCGGUGGUUGCGAAACCUCGGUUGCCCGUCGUGUGCGUUCGUCGCGCAUCGAGGGCUCGAAAAAAUGCUCGGCUCCGGCUGGGCUUUCAACGCGACCCCAGGUCAGGCGGGGUUACCCGCUGAAUUUAAGCAUAUCAAUAAGCGGAGGA